GGACAGAAGGGAGCUUGCUCCCGGAUGUUAGCGGCGGACGGGUGAGUAACACGUGGGUAACCUGCCUGUAAGACUGGGAUAACUCCGGGAAACCGGAGCUAAUACCGGAUAGUUCCUUGAACCGCAUGGUUCAAGGAUGAAAGACGGUUUCGGCUGUCACUUACAGAUGGACCCGCGGCGCAUUAGCUAGUUGGUGGGGUAAUGGCUCACCAAGGCGACGAUGCGUAGCCGACCUGAGAGGGUGAUCGGCCACACUGGGACUGAGACACGGCCCAGACUCCUACGGGAGGCAGCAGUAGGGAAUCUUCCGCAAUGGACGAAAGUCUGACGGAGCAACGCCGCGUGAGUGAUGAAGGUUUUCGGAUCGUAAAGCUCUGUUGUUAGGGAAGAACAAGUGCGAGAGUAACUGCUCGCACCUUGACGGUACCUAACCAGAAAGCCACGGCUAACUACGUGCCAGCAGCCGCGGUAAUACGUAGGUGGCAAGCGUUGUCCGGAAUUAUUGGGCGUAAAGGGCUCGCAGGCGGUUUCUUAAGUCUGAUGUGAAAGCCCCCGGCUCAACCGGGGAGGGUCAUUGGAAACUGGGAAACUUGAGUGCAGAAGAGGAGAGUGGAAAUUCCACGUGUAGCGGUGAAAUGCGUAGAGAUGUGGAGGAACACCAGUGGCGAAGGCGACUCUCUGGUCUGUAACUGACGCUGAGGAGCGAAAGCGUGGGGAGCGAACAGGAUUAGAUACCCUGGUAGUCCACGCCGUAAACGAUGAGUGCUAAGUGUUAGGGGGUUUCCGCCCCUUAGUGCUGCAGCUAACGCAUUAAGCACUCCGCCUGGGGAGUACGGUCGCAAGACUGAAACUCAAAGGAAUUGACGGGGGCCCGCACAAGCGGUGGAGCAUGUGGUUUAAUUCGAAGCAACGCGAAGAACCUUACCAGGUCUUGACAUCCUCUGACAACCCUAGAGAUAGGGCUUUCCCUUCGGGGACAGAGUGACAGGUGGUGCAUGGUUGUCGUCAGCUCGUGUCGUGAGAUGUUGGGUUAAGUCCCGCAACGAGCGCAACCCUUGAUCUUAGUUGCCAGCAUUCAGUUGGGCACUCUAAGGUGACUGCCGGUGACAAACCGGAGGAAGGUGGGGAUGACGUCAAAUCAUCAUGCCCCUUAUGACCUGGGCUACACACGUGCUACAAUGGACAGAACAAAGGGCUGCAAGACCGCAAGGUUUAGCCAAUCCCAUAAAUCUGUUUUCAGUUCGGAUCGCAGUCUGCAACUCGACUGCGUGAAGCUGGAAUCGCUAGUAAUCGCGGAUCAGCAUGCCGCGGUGAAUACGUUCCCGGGCCUUGUACACACCGCCCGUCACACCACGAGAGUUUGCAACACCCGAAGUCGGUGAGGUAACCUUUAUGGAGCCAGCCGCCGAAGGUGGGGCAGAUGAUUGGGGUGAAGU
Molecule: ribosomal RNA, 1436 nt
Filed under: Bacillus safensis
Lineage: Bacteria; Bacillati; Bacillota; Bacilli; Caryophanales; Bacillaceae
Description: bacterial SSU rRNA
Rfam family: Bacterial small subunit ribosomal RNA
Source: RNAcentral